CUUUAUGAAUUAAUAUAAAGUCGAACCUGCCCACUGAUAAUUUAAAGGGCUGCGGUAUUUUGACCGUGCAAAGGUAGCAUAAUCAAUAGUCUUUUAAUUGAAGGCUGGAAUGAAUGGUUUGACGAAAUAACAACUGUCUUAAUUUAAAUAAAUAAAAUUUUAUUUUUAAGUUAAAAAGCUUAAAUUUUUAAAAGGGACGAGAAGACCCUAUAGAUUUUUAUAAUAUAAUUUAAAUUUGAAUGUAGAAAAUUAUAAUUUAUUUAUAAUAUUUAAUUGGGGUGAUGAGAGAAUAAAAUAACUUCUUUUGAAUUUAACAAUAAUUAUUGAGUUUUUGAUCCUUUAAUAGAGAUUAUAAGAUUAAAAUACCUUAGGGAUAACAGCGUAAUUUUAUUUGAGAGUUCUUAUCGAUAAUAAAGAUUGCGACCUCGAUGUUGGAUUAAGAAUAUUAUUUGGUGCAGUAAUUAAAAUAAAUAAGUCUGUUC
RNAcentral lists this ribosomal RNA (482 nucleotides) under Anaxipha aff. fuscocinctum ICCM-2015. Its description in RNAcentral is "partial 16S ribosomal RNA". It matches the Rfam family "Bacterial large subunit ribosomal RNA", at positions 1832 to 2582 of the family's 2925-position model. The record is from RNAcentral. Lineage: Eukaryota; Metazoa; Arthropoda; Insecta; Orthoptera; Trigonidiidae.